AUUGAACGCUGGCGGCAGGCCUAACACAUGCAAGUCGCACGAGUGGCGGACGGGUGAGUAAUGUCUGGGAAACUGCCUGAUGGAUGGGGAUAACUACUGGAAACGGUAGCUAUAACCGCUUACCUUCGGAUGUGCCCAGUCGGGAUUAGCUAGUAGGUGGGGUAAAGGCUCACCAAGGCGACGACCCCUAGCUGGUCUGAGAGGAUGACCGGCAACACGGGAACUGAGACACGGUCCAGACUCCUACGGGAGGCAGCAGUGGGGAAUAUGGCACAAUGGGCGCAAGCCUGAUGCAGCCAGGCCGCGUGUAUGAAGAAGGCCUUCGGGUUGUAAAGUACUUUCAGCGGGGAGGCGUUACCCAAAGAAAAAGCAACGGCUAACUCCGUGCCAGCAGCCGCGGUAAUAC
This 406-nucleotide ribosomal RNA is filed under the name uncultured bacterium. Its description in RNAcentral is "partial 16S ribosomal RNA". It matches the Rfam family "Bacterial small subunit ribosomal RNA", at positions 30 to 526 of the family's 1533-position model. The record is from RNAcentral.